CAGCUCAGCACACUUCCAUCUUCAUCCCAACUUAACCAGCACAUUUAGAAAGAUAAGCAGGGCUGAGUACCAAAAGCACUCAGUGAACAUGUGCCGAAAACAUUUGAAACUUUGCAUGAUAAUGCUAUAUAUUGAACUUGCCACUUUAAGCAAUACACAAGGGAUUUUCUGAAGCAACCUGUGUUUGCUAAACUGUUUUUACAUAGUAAUUGAAAGUGUCUGCGCAGACUAAGUUCUCAUAUAAGUAUGUACCAUAUCUACUAAUCUCAAUAAACACGUUGAGAAGUAGGCCUCCUUCCCAAACGUAACGACAAGCUAACUCAAGGUUAACCGUCACUCUGUGUACACAAAUCCUGACUCGCUCAGGACCCGAAUUCGUUCUUCUAUGUAGAUGGUAUCAUACAAAUCUUAAACAUUGGCAAGUACAACAAUUUAGAAAAUAAAUGCAUACACUUGAACUUUAUAUAUAUAAGUAUGCAUCUUUGUUUCUUGAGUUAGUAAGCCCACCUGAUAUGUUUCUCUUACUUCGUACUCUAGUGUCGGGCUCGUUCCUAGCCGGAACCUUUAAAUAGAUAAAGAUUUUUUGUAAGAAAAUAAGUAAGGAAAAUAUAUAUAUAUAUAUAUAUAUAUAAAUAUAAUAUUACAACAAUAACUCAUACUUGCUAUUUACUUAUUAUCCUAACAUUUCCUCACGUCACAUCAUCAACAUACUAAAACCAUUUCUCUAAAUUCAAUAAGGAAAGAUAAAAGAAUGAGUUAAAUGAUGUUCAUCAACUCUCAAUAAAUACGCAUAUAUAUAGUUUAAUAAACUAACAUUAUCAAUCAUCUCAAUCUCUUUAAAAAGAAACCUCAAUGAGCUAAAUUAACCUCAAUCAAUACUACUAAUCUCAACUAUAUGCAUAAAAAUAACAACUUUAUCACUUCCCUACUGUUUAUACAACAGAGCUUUACAAAAGAAUUGGGUAGUAGGGCUAUUCUAACCUCAAUAAUUAAUAAAAUCACAUUAUAGUAUACAUAUCUCCAUCAAACAAUAGCAUAUAAACCUUCUCAAUUCAAAAGCCCCAACUUCACCUAAACUAACAAAAUCAAUCUCACAACCAUACAGUGCAAACUCAUAAUAUACUCAUAUAUAACAUAAUUCCAGCUCAAGAGCACAUGUAUAAACUCAUUUAUUCAAGAACAUAAUCAGAAUUUUCGAACUCAAACCUAGGGUUUACACUAACUUGAGAAAAAUCCAAAAUCAAGUAAGAAUUUAUGCAAUUAACCAUCAUAAUCAUGCUUAGGAACACUUGAAACAUAAUAUAUCUCAAUAUCAAGAUCAAACUUCAACUCAAACAUUAAAUCCCCAAUUUUCGGAAAAACCCUAAAAUUCAAACAUAACUUUUUCUUCAAGCUCGUACUGCACAAGAUGGAAAAUCAAGGAAUUCACCUUAUUUCUCAAACUAUUGAAAUUGUCGCUGGAAAAUUUCUGGCGAAAUUGAGUUUCUAACUAGGAAAAUGGCGAAUUGCUUUUGACAGGGUAGAAAGAGUCGGCUGUUGAUCUAAGAAAAGGAAUGGAUUUCUUCUACCCAAUAACAUAUAUACUUAUCACUCUUUUUUUUUGGGAAUUCGUGCAUCAAAAUGGUAGAAAUCACUUUAGGAAUUUCCUUAUGCAAAUAAAUAAAAUAAAGAUCAAACUCCACAUUAAUCACCCAUGGUCGGCCCACUUGGGC
This 1712-nucleotide long non-coding RNA is filed under the name Salvia miltiorrhiza (redroot sage). Its description in RNAcentral is "long non-coding RNA (SMIL_LNC004905)". Lineage: Eukaryota; Viridiplantae; Streptophyta; Magnoliopsida; Lamiales; Lamiaceae. The record is from RNAcentral.